Molecule: ribosomal RNA, 509 nt
Filed under: uncultured bacterium
Lineage: Bacteria
Description: bacterial SSU rRNA
Rfam family: Bacterial small subunit ribosomal RNA
Source: RNAcentral
CGUCGUCGAGACGUCACGAGAGUAGUGUAUCGUGCUAGGAUGAACGCUGGCGGCGUGCCUAAUACAUGCAAGUCGAACGGUAUCAGCAAUGAUAUAGUGGCGAACGGGUGAGUAACACGUUGGUGACCUGCCCCAAAGAUGGGAAUAUCACCUGGAAACGGGUGGCAAAACCGAAUAAGCUUGAGAGAGUUAGAGAACCUCAAGUAAAAGAGAGAUCUACUUUGGGAGGGGCCUGCGGCCCAUCAGUUAGUUGGUGAGGGUAACGGCCACCAAGACGAAGACGGGUAGGGGACCUGAGAGGGUGGUCCCCCACAAUGGAACUGAAACACGGUCCAUACACCUGCGGGUGGCAGCAGUAGGGAAUAUUGCUUAAUGGGCGAAAAAGCCUGAAGCAGCAACGCCGCGUGGGACGAAGGAGGUCCUUCGGGGUCGUAAAGUCCUUUUAUGAGGGAAAAGGUAAGGAUGGUACCUCAUGAAUAAGUCUCGGCUAACUACGUGCCAGCCGCCGC